This 434-nucleotide ribosomal RNA is filed under the name uncultured bacterium. RNAcentral's name for it is "partial 16S ribosomal RNA". It matches the Rfam family "Bacterial small subunit ribosomal RNA", at positions 29 to 507 of the family's 1533-position model. The record is from RNAcentral.
AGCGAACGCUGGCGGCAGGCUUAACACAUGCAAGUCGAGCGGGCAUCUUCGGAUGUCAGCGGCAGACGGGUGAGUAACACGUGGGAACGUACCCUUCGGUUCGGAACAACUCUGGGAAACUGGAGCUAAUACCGGAUACGCCCUUAUGGGGAAAGGUUUACUGCCGAAGGAUCGGCCCGCGUCUGAUUAGCUAGUUGGUGGGGUAACGGCCUACCAAGGCGACGAUCAGUAGCUGGUCUGAGAGGAUGAUCAGCCACACUGGGACUGAGACACGGCCCAGACUCCUACGGGAGGCAGCAGUGGGGAAUAUUGGACAAUAGGCGCAAGCCUAUCCAGCCAUGCCGCGUGAGUGAUGAAGGCCUUAGGGUUGUAAAGCUCUUUUGUCCGGGACGAUAAUGACGGUACCGGAAGAAUAAGCCCCGGCUAACUUCGUG